GUUUUCCUAAAUGUAGCACCUUAAUUGAAGUGGCCUUCUCUCUCUGACACCCAAAUGACUUCAACCAUAUGGACAAUGGUCCACCCUUCAACUCCUACCACCAAAUCAGCCUAAGGAGCUCAGCUUAGACUGGGUUUCACCAUCCAGGGGGCAGGCCUUUCUCAUCCCAAGCUGGAGUCUCCAAAGGGGGCCAUACCUCCAGACAGCAACCAGGGUCCACCUGGCUGUUCCCUCACUAUGGAAAACUCUCGUCCCAGAUCUGAUCAUGUAACUUCCUUUCCCGCACUCAGCUUUACCUCCUCAGAGACCUUCAUGGGCCAUCCCCACCAUAGUGGCCCAAGGCCCUAGACAUUUUUUUAUCAUUUUUCCCUGUUGAGUUUUUCCAAAACACAAUGCUGUAUGAAAUUCUCCUGUUCAAAUGACGGCUCUCUGGGUUGCUCCUCUCCACUGUGGCAGGAUGUCAAUACCCUGAGAGAAGAACAUGCUGCCUCAGGCCCUAUUCUCUGCAGCACCCAGAAGAGAGUCUUGCUUGUAACAGGCACACAAUUCCAUAUAUAAUCACAUUUAAGAUGACCCCAAUUGUAAGAUGCAUCAUUA
Long non-coding RNA from Canis lupus familiaris (dog), 597 nucleotides. RefSeq lists it as uncharacterized. The record is from RefSeq and is a predicted model, not a curated record. The transcript is spliced from 3 exons. NCBI's taxonomy places the organism in Eukaryota, Metazoa, Chordata, Mammalia, Carnivora, Canidae.